AGUAGUGUUCAACUGGGUUGAGAUCUGAAUCUCCCAGUAGUGUUCAACUGGGUUGAGAUCUGAAUCUCCCAGUAGUGUUCAAUUGGGUUGAGAUCUGAAUCUCCCAGUAGUGUUCAAUUGGGUUGAGAUCUGAAUCUCCCAGUAGUGUUCAAUUGGGUUGAGAUCUGAAUCUCCCAGUAGUGUUCAACUGGGUUGAGAUCUGAAUCUCCCAGUAGUGUUCAAUUGGGUUGAGAUCUGAAUCUCCCAGUAGUGUUCAAUUGGGUUGAGAUCUGAAUCUCCCAGUAGUGUUCAAUUGGGUUGAGAUCUGAAUCUCCCAGUAGUGUUCAAUUGGGUUGAGAUCUGAAUCUCCCAGUAGUGUUCAAUUGGGUUGAGAUCUGAAUCUCCCAGUAGUGUUCAAUUGGGUUGAGAUCUGAAUCUCCCAGUAGUGUUCAAUUGGGUUGAGAUCUGAAUCUCCCAGUAGUGUUCAAUUGGGUUGAGAUCUGAAUCUCCCAGUAGUGUUCAACUGGGUUGAGAUCUGGUGACUGAGACGGCCAUGGCAUGUGGUUUACAUCGUUUUCAUGCUCAUCAAACCAUUCAGUGACCACUGCCAUCCACAGGGCAUGAAACUAAUGGCCCACCCAAAAUUUGUAUACGUGACCCUAAGCAUGAUGGGAUGUUAAUUACUGAAUUUUACUCAGGAACCACGCCUGUGUGGAAGCACCUGCUUUCAAUAUACUUUGUUUCCCUAAUUUACUCCAGUGUUCCCAUUAUUUUAGUAGUUACCUGUAGGUUGAAUAGAGUCACAUAAAGACAAGGACUUGUUGGGCGUGUUUGAUGGGUAAUGCUAAAGUCAGCGACUGUAGACGAGUCGAGGAAGCAGUACGACAUUGUUUCCUGAGAGAGAAAUGGAGGUCUGUGACCGCCUCAAUAGUGCUGCCCAUGCUAUCUCAAUUUUAAAGUAGUCCAUUUUAUUAACUGGCUGGGGCCUCCCAAGUGGCGCAACGGUGCCAAGAGUGUGCAAAGCUGUCAUCAAGGCAAAGGGUGGCUAUUUUGAAGAAUCUCAAAUAUUAAAAUAUAUUCAGAUUUGUUUAACACUUAUUUUUGGUUACUACGUGAUUCUAAGUGUUAUUUCAUAGUUUUGAUGUCUUCACUAUUAUUCUACAAUGUAGAAAAUAGUAAAAAUAAAAUAAAACCCCUUGAAUGAGUAGGUGUUCUAAGACUUUUGACCAGUGGUGUGUAUAUAUGUGUGUGUAUAUAGACCUAUAAAGAAUGAACUGAGUGUACAAAACAUUAGGAUCACCUUCCUCAUAUUGAGCUGCACUUACUUUUGCCCUCAGAACAGCCUCAAUUCACUGGGACGUGGACUGACUCUACAAGGUGUCCAAAGCGUUCCACAGGGAUGCUGGCCCCAUGUUGACUCUACAAGGUGUCUAAAGCGUUCCACAGGGAUGCUGGCCCCAUGUUGACUCUACAAGGUGUCUAAAGCGUUCCACAGGGAUGCUGGCCCCAUGUUGACUCUACAAGGUGUCGAAAGCGUUCCACAGGGAUGCUGGUCCAUGUUGACCCCAACGCUUCCCACAGUUGUGUGAAGUUGUCUGGAUGUCCUUUGGGUGGUGGACCAUUCUUGAUACACACAGGAAACUGUUGAGUGUGAAAAACCCAGCAGCGUUGCAGUUCUUGACACAAACAGGUGCGCCUGGCACCCACUACCAUACCCUGUUCAAAGGCACUUCAAUAUUUUGUGUUGCCCCAUUCACCCUCUGAAUGAUUAAAAAUCUUUCUUUAACCCAUCUCCUCCCCCUCAUCUACACUGAUUUAGUGACAUCAAUAAGGGAUAUUAGCUUUCACCUGGAUUCACCUGGUCAGUCUGUCAUGGAAAGAGCAGGUGUCCUUAAUGUUUUGUACACUCAGUGUAUAGCUAUAUAGCCUGUGUGCUGUGAAUACUACAGAUAUGUAACUAGUGUACAGUUGGUGACUCGUCGACGAGAAUAAAUAUAUUUUAAAUCUGUG
Oncorhynchus keta (chum salmon) is the source of this 1989-nucleotide long non-coding RNA. RefSeq lists it as uncharacterized. NCBI's taxonomy places the organism in Eukaryota, Metazoa, Chordata, Actinopteri, Salmoniformes, Salmonidae. The record is from RefSeq and is a predicted model, not a curated record. The transcript is spliced from 2 exons.